This 468-nucleotide ribosomal RNA is filed under the name uncultured bacterium. RNAcentral describes it as "partial 16S ribosomal RNA". It matches the Rfam family "Bacterial small subunit ribosomal RNA", at positions 28 to 507 of the family's 1533-position model. The record is from RNAcentral.
GACGAACGCUGGCGGCGUGCUUAACACAUGCAAGUCGAACGGAAAGGCCCUGCUUUUGUGGGGUGCUCGAGUGGCGAACGGGUGAGUAACACGUGAGUAACCUGCCCUUGACUUUGGGAUAACUUCAGGAAACUGGGGCUAAAACCGGAUAGGAGCUCCUGCUGCAUGGUGGGGGUAGGAAAGUUUCGGCGUUUGGGGAUGGACUCGCGGCUUAUCAGCUUGUUGGUGGGGUAGUGGCUUACCAAGGCUUUGACGGGUAGCCGGCCUGAGAGGGUGACCGGCCACAUUGGGACUGAGAUACGGCCCAGACUGCUACGGGAGGCAGCAGUGGGGAAUAUUGCACAAUGGGCGGAAGCCUGAUGCAGCAACGCCGCGUGCGGGAUGACGGCCUUCGGGUUGUAAACCGCUUUCGCCUGUGACGAAGCGUGAGUGACGGUAAUGGGUAAAGAAGCACCGGCUAACUACGUG